This 135-nucleotide ribosomal RNA is filed under the name uncultured bacterium. RNAcentral describes it as "partial 16S rRNA". It matches the Rfam family "Bacterial small subunit ribosomal RNA", at positions 355 to 507 of the family's 1533-position model. The record is from RNAcentral.
UGGGGAAUAUUGCACAAUGGAGGAAACUCUGAUGCAGCAACGCCGCGUGAGUGAUGAAGGUCUUCGGAUUGUAAAACUCUGUCUUCUGGGACGAUAAUGACGGUACCAGAGGAGGAAGCCNCGGCUAACUACGUG